This 299-nucleotide signal recognition particle RNA is filed under the name Saimiri boliviensis boliviensis (Bolivian squirrel monkey). RNAcentral describes it as "Metazoan signal recognition particle RNA (ENSSBOG00000006347.1)". It matches the Rfam family "Metazoan signal recognition particle RNA". Rfam says of the family: The signal recognition particle (SRP) is a universally conserved ribonucleoprotein. Lineage: Eukaryota; Metazoa; Chordata; Mammalia; Primates; Cebidae. The record is from RNAcentral.
GCCAGGCUCAGUGGUGUGUGCCUGUAGUCCCAGCUACUCGGGAGGCUGAGGUGGGAGGAUCGCUUGAGCCCAGGAAUUCUGGGCUGUAGUGUGCUAUGCUGAUCGGGUGUCCGCACUAAGUUCAGCAUCAAUAUGGUGACUUCCCGGGAGUGGGGGACCACCAGGUUGCCUAAGGAAGGGUGAACCCGCCCAGGUCGAAAACGGAGCAAGUCAAAACUCCCAUGCUUAUCAGUAGUGGGAUCGCGCCUGUGAAUAGCCACUGCACUUCAGCCUGGGCAACACAGCGAGACCCCGUCUCU